AGGCUGUACCAGAAUUAACUCUGCUCAGAGUUAGAUUUGCUGGUCUUAAAGUACUUUUCCUCUUCAAGAUAAAACUGGACCCUUGGUGCUACGUGGAGAUCCCUCUAGUUGUUGAUGGACAGCUUCCCAGGCCACUCCUCUCAGGAAGUUCUUCUAAAUCAGGAAUGGACUGAAAUCUAAUGAACCCAAACUUUGGGUGGUUGAAUUCAUAAAUGUGAAACACGCAGAUACAAAAGGCCAACUGUAUAUUUGUAUCCUGUAACAAUAUAUUGUUUGGUUAUAAUGUUUGUAAAUUUUACCCAUGGAUUCCUCUGUGACUGCUUUUUAUAUUUCUAAGAUUUACCCAUGUUGUUAUAUGUAACCAUAAGUUAUUCGUUUAUUUUUUCCCAAUGUAUGAAUGUACUUCAAUUUCCUUUCUUUCUUUCUUCCUUUCUUUCUCUCUCUCUCUUUCUCUCUUUCUCUCUUCUUUUUCUUCUUCCUUUCCUUUCCUUGUUUUUUUUUUGAGAUAGGGUCUCACUCUGUCACC
RNAcentral lists this small RNA (526 nucleotides) under Pongo abelii (Sumatran orangutan). Its description in RNAcentral is "processed transcript". The record is from RNAcentral. Lineage: Eukaryota; Metazoa; Chordata; Mammalia; Primates; Hominidae.